Molecule: ribosomal RNA, 3066 nt
Filed under: Triticum aestivum (bread wheat)
Lineage: Eukaryota; Viridiplantae; Streptophyta; Magnoliopsida; Poales; Poaceae
Description: partial small subunit ribosomal RNA
Source: RNAcentral
AUGAGGGCGGAUCUCAGCACCAUCCAGCAGACGCUCACGCCAGAGGCGGCGGCGGCGCUGGCGCGAGCCAUGGACGAAGCGGCUCGACGGAGGCACGUCUCCACCACGCCGCUCCACGUCGCCGCCGCGCUGCUCGCCGCGCCGGCUGGCCUGCUGCGCCAGGCCUGCGCGCGGGCCGUGGCCGCGGGAGGCGCUGCUGCCGCCUCUGGUGGCGCCGGCGCGCACCCGCUCCACUGCCGCGCUCUUGAGCUCUGUUUCUCCGUCGCGCUAGACAGGUUGCCUGCCUUUGCGGGGGGCGCGAUUGGAGGCGGGGCCGCUGCUCCUCCCGUUUCCAACGCGCUCGUUGCGGCUCUCAAGCGCGCGCAGGCCCAGCAGCGGCGGGGCUGCCCUGAGGCGGCACAGCAGCCGCUCCUCGCCGUUAAGGUGGAGCUCGAGCAGCUCGUGCUCUCCAUCCUCGACGACCCUUCGGUCAGCCGCGUCAUGCGCGAGGCGUCCUUCUCAUCUUCUGCCGUGAAGAACACCAUCGAACAGUCUCUCACCUCACCCUCCCCGUCGUCUUCCACCGCAGCGUCUAGUCCUGUACCGACGCCAACCCCCUUCUCCCCAUCCCUUUCCUCUCUUCUGCGCGCCGGCACCGCUAACGCAUACAUCAACCCUCGGCUGGCGGCUGCGGCGGCUGGAGCCAGCUGCGGGGAUGAUGCGCGCAAGGUGCUUGAUGUCAUGCUCAAGCCAGCGCGCCGCAACCCGGUGAUCGUCGGAGACUCCGGACCGGACGUGGUUCUGAAGGAGGCCAUUCGAAUAAUCCCAGCGGCCAGCUCCGCUGCCCUCGCUGCAGCCAAGAUCCUGCAUCUGGAGGCGGAACUCACCAAGCUUGCUGGCGACAAGGUGGCGAUGGCGGAGAGGAUCGGGAAGCUGGGCGCCGUAGUCGAGAGGCUCGUCGGCGAGCACGGCGGGGUGGUUCUUGACCUCGGGGACCUGAAGUGGAUGGUGGAAGGCCCUGCCGCGUCGUCGUCUGAGGGGGGCAAGGCGGCCAUUGCUGAGAUGGGGCGUCUGCUCAGGCGUUUCGGGCGCGGUGAAGUGUGGGCCGUCGCCACUGCAGCGUGCGCCACGUACCUCAGGUGUAAGAUCUAUCACCCAGGAAUGGAGGAUGAAUGGGAUCUCCAAGCCAUGCCGAUCGCCCGCAGCACACCGCUUGCUGGAGCUGCUCUGAGGCCUGGAAGCAGUGGAACUCUCAGCAACUCGGUGGGGAUGUUAUCACCAAUGCUCCGGCCUUUGCCGGUGACACCAACACCUCUCAGAUGGCCGCCAGGGGGUGGCCAUACUCAGAUGGUGAAGCCGGCCAUGUGCAUGCUCUGCAAGGGUGGUUAUGAGAGUGAGCUCGCCAAACUUGCAGCGGAGCGGACGGCAGUAUCCGUCCCUGAGGCUGCUAACCCUAGUUUGCCGCACUGGCUGCAGCGGACCAAUGAUCAAAAUCAGUCUAAGGCACAAGAGUUGAAAUGGAAAAGGAGCACAGAUGAGCUUGAGAAGAAAUGGCGUGAGACCUGUGCCCAUAUCCACUUGACCCAUGCUGGAGCGCCAGCACUCUCCGUGCCAUUGGCCUCGUCCGGAACAUGUCCACGUGUUGAGGUCAACUUGCCUAUUGCAAGGGGUGCUGCUAUUCAGACUCUUAAGAUGAACACUAACCGGGAUAAGCCAGCAUCCAGCCCGAUAGUUGACCUCCACAAGAGCCCACCAGGAAGCCCAGUGAAAACUGAUCUUAUGCUGGGUCGCUUGGACCCUGCCAUCAAUCCUACUAUGGAUAAAGAGCGGAAGGAAAAUUAUGAGGGGCUAACUGCCCUGCAGAAGGCUAAGAUAGCUGGAAUUUCAGAUAUUGAUUCCUUCAAAAGGCUCAUCAAGGGGCUGACAGAGAAGGUUAGCUGGCAGUCUGAUGCCGCUUCAGCCAUUGCUGCUGUUGUUGUACAAUGCCGAUCUGGAAGUGAGAAGCGUCGGACCCUUCGAACAAGAGGUGACAUGUGGCUCAUGUUUGUUGGCUCUGAUAAGGCAGGUAAGCGGAAAAUGGUGAACGCGUUGUCUGAGCUGAUGGCAAACACGAGACCAGUAAUUGUGAACUUUGGUGGUGACUCCGAAUUGGGAAGGGCUAAGAAUGAUGGACUGAACAUGGGUCUCUGGGGGAAAACUGCACUUGAUCGGGUCACUGAGGCAGUUCGGCAGAACCCAUUCUCAGUAAUUGUUCUGGAAUGCAUUGAUCGAUUGGACAUAGUUGUUCGUGGAAAGAUCAAGCGGGCAAUGGAGACUGGUCGUCUGCCGGACUCUCGUGGCCGUGAGGUCAGCCUUGGCAAUGUCAUCUUUGUUUUUACCACCAAUUGGGUACCUGAUGAACUUAAAGGGCCGGACGUCGAGUCUUUACUACAAGGUGAACUAAGAAUGUUGGAGAUGGCAGGCUCUAGUUGGCAGCUAGAGCUCUCGAUUGGGGACAAGAAGGCCAAGCACCGAGCAGAUUGGCUAUGUGAUGAUGUUCGCCCUGCAAAGGUAGCAAAAGAUUUGUCCAGUAGCCAUGGUUUGUCGCUUGACCUCAAUUUGGCAGUUGGUGCCUUGGAUGACACCGAGAGUUCACAUAAUUCUAGUGAUGUCUCAGUGGAGCAAGAGCAAGAGAAAGGGCAGCUUGCAGUACUGUGUUCGACGCCUGCCCCUGACUGCGAUCUAUUGGGACUCGUUGACGAUGCCAUUGUGUUUCGACCAGUUGACUUCAAUCCAUUUCGGAAGACUAUUAGAGAUUGCAUAUCAGCAAAAUUUGAAUUGGUCAUUGGGAGCAUCAAUUCAUUCAGAAUCGAUGAAGAUGCCAUUGACCAUAUGGUUAGCAGUGUCUGGCUCACUGAUGAGAGGUUCGAGGACUGGGCUGGAGAAGUAAUUAUGCCAAGCAUUGAACGAUUGUGGCGCAACGUAAAGCAUGAUAGCGCUCGUGCUGUCGUCCGUCUCGCAUUAGUUGCGGACGAGGCGUUGCCAAGGUGGGGUGAGGGAAGGGAAGGGCUACCAGCGACUGUAACGAUUGCCAUCGAUGGAAUGUAG